GCCAGCAGCCAUGUCACCUGCAAUUUACAAUUGCCAGCCCACUGAAGCUAAGCAGGUGUGAGCCUGGUUAGUACCUGGAUGGGAGACCUCCUGGGAAAAACUAAGGUUGCUGCUGGAA
RNAcentral lists this ribosomal RNA (118 nucleotides) under Lepisosteus oculatus (spotted gar). Lineage: Eukaryota; Metazoa; Chordata; Actinopteri; Semionotiformes; Lepisosteidae. The record is from RNAcentral.